Molecule: microRNA, 17 nt
Filed under: Populus x canadensis (hybrid black poplar)
Lineage: Eukaryota; Viridiplantae; Streptophyta; Magnoliopsida; Malpighiales; Salicaceae
Description: PC-5p-674947_1
Source: RNAcentral
GCAGUGACUUGAAAGAA